GGCCGGAACACAGGUGCUGCAUGGCUGUCGUCAGCUCGUGUCGUGAGAUGUUGGGUUAAGUCCCGCAACCGAGCGCAACCCUCGCCCCUAGUUGCCAUCAUUCAGUUGGGAACUCUAGGGGGACUGCCGGUGAUAAGCCGCGAGGAAGGUGGGGAUGACGUCAAGUCCUCAUGGCCCUUACAGGCUGGGCUACACACGUGCUACAAUGGCGGUGACAAUGGGCAGCGAAGGAGCGAUCCGGUGCUAAUCCCAAAAAGCCGUCUCAGUUCAGAUUGCACUCUGCAACUCGAGUGCAUGAAGGUGGAAUCGCUAGUAAUCGUGGAUCAGCAUGCCACGGUGAAUACGUUCCCGGGCCUU
This 357-nucleotide ribosomal RNA is filed under the name uncultured Allobosea sp. RNAcentral describes it as "bacterial SSU rRNA". It matches the Rfam family "Bacterial small subunit ribosomal RNA", at positions 1025 to 1382 of the family's 1533-position model. Lineage: Bacteria; Pseudomonadati; Pseudomonadota; Alphaproteobacteria; Hyphomicrobiales; Alloboseaceae. The record is from RNAcentral.